Cynocephalus volans (Philippine flying lemur) is the source of this 107-nucleotide small nuclear RNA. The record is from RefSeq and is a predicted model, not a curated record. Lineage: Eukaryota; Metazoa; Chordata; Mammalia; Dermoptera; Cynocephalidae.
GUGCUCACUUUGGCAGCACAUAUACUAAUACUGGAGCAACACAUAGUGGAUUUGCAUGACCCCUGUGCAAGGACAACAAAUAAAUUUGUGAAGCAAUCUAUGGCUUU